GAUGAAGAACGCAGCGAAAUGCGAUAAGUAAUGUGAAUUGCAGAAUUCCGUGAAUCAUCGAGUCUUUGAACGCACAUUGCGCCCCCUGGUAUUCCGGGGGGCAUGCCUGUCCGAGCGUCAUUGCUGCCCUCAAGCCCGGCUUGUGUGUUGGGUCUCGUCCCCCUUCCCGGGGGGACGGGCCCGAAAGGCAGCGGCGGCACCGCGUCCGGUCCUCGAGCGUAUGGGGCUUUGUCACCCGCUCUGUAGGCCCGGCCGGCGCUUGCCGAUCAACCAAAACUUUUUUCCAGGUUGACCUCGGAUCAGGUAGGGAUACCCGCUGAACUUAAGCAUAUCAAUAAGCGGAGGA
RNAcentral lists this unclassified non-coding RNA (346 nucleotides) under soil metagenome. RNAcentral's name for it is "partial contains 5.8S ribosomal RNA, internal transcribed spacer 2, and large subunit ribosomal RNA". The stretch from base 1 to 120 matches the Rfam family "5.8S ribosomal RNA", at positions 35 to 154 of the family's 154-position model. The record is from RNAcentral.